RNAcentral lists this non-coding RNA (23 nucleotides) under Cricetulus griseus (Chinese hamster). The record is from RNAcentral. Lineage: Eukaryota; Metazoa; Chordata; Mammalia; Rodentia; Cricetidae.
UUGGCUGGUCAACUUGAACAUUG